GGUUGCGAUCAUACCAGCACUAAUGCACCGGAUCCCAUCAGAACUCCGCAGUUAAGCGUGUUUGGGCGAGAGUAGUACUAGGAUGGGUGACCCCCUGGGAAGUCCUCGUGUUGCAACCCC
Molecule: ribosomal RNA, 120 nt
Filed under: Helianthus annuus (common sunflower)
Lineage: Eukaryota; Viridiplantae; Streptophyta; Magnoliopsida; Asterales; Asteraceae
Source: RNAcentral